CCGAAGCAGGCUCUGAGCCAUCAGCACAGAGCCCAAGGCGGGGCUUGAACCCAUGAACUGUGAGACCACGACCUGAGACAAAGUCGGACACUCACCUGACUGAGCCACCCAGGCGCCCCUAAACAGUUACAUUUAUUUACAAUCAUUCUAUUGCCAUAGACUGGAAAACGGGAUCUCUUCAGGUUGGUCUUAGUGCUAGAGAAGUAGCUGGUUGGAUGGAUGGUCAUUGGCUCUGCCGCGCUCGGGAUGUUGCUGCAUUUUAAAAAAUGACUUAUCUCGCGGCGCUGAGGGCGGUGCUUAUGGUCGAGUCCUGCGACGCUGCUGGGAAACACUGGGGGUUGAAAAUGGCUUUCUGCAGCACGCAGCCUUUGAUCUGAAGCGACAGGGUCGGGUUUUGUGACUGCCAGGCCACACGGCGGUCCUCCCGAAGUCUGCAGAAACUGAGCGGCCGAGACCCCCCGUGGUAGCUGUGGAUGUCAUCAGGCUCCAGGACUGCCCGGCCGCUGAUGGAAACGGUGAGCACGUCAUGAGCGGUUCUCCGUCCUAUUUUGCCGCUUGCCCUAAGAUGAGGGCUUGCAGCAGGUGCAACUGCGCGAACUCUCACACGGACGCGCACAUCCACGCACGGACGCGCACAUCCACGCACGUUCUCACUCCUGAGCGUCUUUCCCGGUUCCCUCGCUGGGCCCUCCGUGUGUCUUGCCAACACUCCCCAACCCCGACCAUGACGCACACCUGGUCCCCUGGGGGCCGGCGUCAGCCUUUGCCUUUUCCCUCUGGCGGGCUCUCCUGCCGGCCGCUUCCACGCCCACUUCGGUAAGCACCCCCUGAUCUCGCCCCCACCUCUCCUCCUGGACUCCAGGGCUGUCCACGCAGCCGGGCCCACCAGCAGGAGCCCAGAGCGCCGUCGGGCCACCUGGGAAGAAGCCCCCUUCCGCAAGUUGCCGUUGGAAGAUUAUCACGGCACCCUCCCCCUCCGUGGCACCUGCCGGAACCCGCUGUUGGAAGCGCCCCGUGCCCGUGAUGUGGGCGCGUCCACAAGAAGCGGCUUGAACAUAGAGACAGAGUCCUCCGGCCUUCACCUCCCGAACUGAACGCCUGAAGAAGACUGAGGUCCUGCCGACAUUUAUGGAAUACAUCCAUGAAACAGUGCAUGUUUCUUACAAGAUCAAACGUCCCUUGUUGACUGACCCUCGAUUUGUAAAGUAAUCUCAUGAAAAAAAGAGAACGUA
Long non-coding RNA from Felis catus (domestic cat), 1232 nucleotides. RefSeq lists it as uncharacterized. The record is from RefSeq and is a predicted model, not a curated record. The transcript has 2 exons. Lineage: Eukaryota; Metazoa; Chordata; Mammalia; Carnivora; Felidae.